This 429-nucleotide ribosomal RNA is filed under the name Pseudomonadota bacterium. RNAcentral's name for it is "Proteobacteria bacterium partial 16S ribosomal RNA". It matches the Rfam family "Bacterial small subunit ribosomal RNA", at positions 355 to 776 of the family's 1533-position model. Lineage: Bacteria; Pseudomonadati; Pseudomonadota. The record is from RNAcentral.
UGGGGAAUAUUGGACAAUGGGCGAAAGCCUGAUCCAGCCAUGCCGCGUGUGUGAAGAAGGUCUUCGGAUUGUAAAGCACUUUAAGUUGGGAGGAAGGGCAGUAAGCGAAUACCUUGCUGUUUUGACGUUACCGACAGAAUAAGCACCGGCUAACUCUGUGCCAGCAGCCGCGGUAAUACAGAGGGUGCAAGCGUUAAUCGGAAUUACUGGGCGUAAAGCGUGCGUAGGUGGUUCGUUAAGUUGAAUGUGAAAGCCCCGGGCUCAACCUGGGAACUGCAUCCAAAACUGGCGGGCUAGAGUAGGGCAGAGGGUGGUGGAAUUUCCUGUGUAGCGGUGAAAUGCGUCGCUAUAGGAAGGACCACCAGUGGCGAAGGCGACCACCUGGGCUCAUACUGACACUGAGGUGCGAAAGCGUGGGGAGCAAACAGG